AGUUCGAGCGAUCCAUAAGAGUAGCUGGGUAUAUCCUAAUUCCGAAAAAUUUGGGAGAAAAAAAUUAUAUAUUUUUUUUUUCUUUUGAGUCUUUAUUUAAUAUAUAAAUUUUAUAUAAAUUUAAAAUUUUGUUAAUCGUCUAAGGCGGUUAAGCAAUUUCUUAAAAUGAAUUUGGAUAUAAGCGGAUAAGUAAUAUAUCUUAUCCUUAUAUGUAUUUAAUCACUAUCUUUUUAUUUAAAGUAAAAUUUAAUUUUAAAGCAAGUAAAAUUUUAACUAUAUCGAUGAUAGGGGUAAUAAAGAAAAUUCACAUUUUCUAGUCUUCUGGGGACUCGUUAAA
RNAcentral lists this ribosomal RNA (337 nucleotides) under Arthrobotrys polycephala. RNAcentral's name for it is "partial large subunit ribosomal RNA". The record is from RNAcentral. Lineage: Eukaryota; Fungi; Ascomycota; Orbiliomycetes; Orbiliales; Orbiliaceae.